This 890-nucleotide ribosomal RNA is filed under the name uncultured bacterium. RNAcentral describes it as "bacterial SSU rRNA". It matches the Rfam family "Bacterial small subunit ribosomal RNA", at positions 8 to 937 of the family's 1533-position model. The record is from RNAcentral.
AGAGUUUGAUCAUGGCUCAGAACGAACGCUUGCUGCAUGCUUUAUACAUGCAAGUCGAACGAAGGCCCUAGCUUGCUAGGUGUCCUUAGUGGCGCACGGGUGAGUAACACGUGGGAACAUACCUUAUAGUACGGAAUAACUGCGGGAAACUGUAGCUAAUACCGUAUACUCCAGUAAUGGGAAAGAUUUAUCGCUAUAAGAUUGGCCCGCGCAAGAUUAGCUUGUUGGUGAGGUAAAAGCUCACCAAGGCUUCGAUCUUUAGCUGGUUUGAGAGGAUGAUCAGCCACACUGGGACUGAGACACGGCCCAGACUCCUACGGGAGGCAGCAGUAGGGAAUAUUGGACAAUGGGGGCAACCCUGAUCCAGCAAUGCAGCGUGAGUGACGAAGGCCAUAGGGUUGUAAAACUCUUUCAUCGGUGAGGAUAAUGACAGUAGCCGAAGAAGAAGGACCGGCUAAUUCCGCGCCAGCAGCCGCGGUAAUACGGAAGGUCCUAGCGUUGUUCGGAAUUACUGGGCGCAAAGCGCAUGUAGGCGGAACAGAAAGUUAGAAGUGAAAUCCCUGGGCUCAACCUAGGAAUUGCUUUUAAAACUUCUGUUCUGGAAUUCAGGAGAGGAAAAUGGAAUUUCCAGUGUAGAGGUGAAAUUCGUAGAUAUUGGAAGGAACACCAGUGGCGAAGGCGAUUUUCUGGACUGAUAUUGACGCUGAGAUGCGAAGGCAUGGGUAGCAAACGGGAUUAGAUACCCCGGUAGUCCAUGCAGUAAACGAUGGGUGCUAGUCGUCGGACUUUUGUUCGGUGUCGUAGCUAACGCGUUAAGCACCCCGCCUGGGGAGUACGGUCGCAAGAUUAAAACUCAAAUAAAUUGACGGGGACCCGCACAAGCAGUGGAG